RNAcentral lists this ribosomal RNA (484 nucleotides) under uncultured bacterium. RNAcentral's name for it is "partial 16S ribosomal RNA". It matches the Rfam family "Bacterial small subunit ribosomal RNA", at positions 30 to 507 of the family's 1533-position model. The record is from RNAcentral.
AUUGAACGCUGGCGGCAGGCCUAACACAUGCAAGUCGAGCGGAUGAAGGGAGCUUGCUUCUGGAUUCAGCGGCGGACGGGUGAGUAAUGCCUAGGAAUCUGCCUGGUAGUGGGGGAUAACGUCCGGAAACGGGCGCUAAUACCCCAUACGUCCUGAGGGAGAAAGUGGGGGAUCUUCGGACCUUCCGCUAUCAGAUGAGCCUAGGUCGGAUUAGCUAGUUGGUGGGGUAAAGGCCUACCAAGGCGACGAUCCGUAACUGGUCUGAGAGGAUGAUCAGUCACACUGGAACUGAGACACGGUCCAGACUCCUACGGGAGGCAGCAGUGGGGAAUAUUGGACAAUGGGCGAAAGCCUGAUCCAGCCAUACCGCGUGUGUGAAGAAGGUCUUCGGGUUGUAAAGCCCUUUUAGUUGGAAAGAAGAGCAGUAAGUUAAUACCUUGCUGUUUUGACGGUACCAACAGAAUAAGCACCGGCUAACUUCGUG